UCUUGAUGAUAAUGAAGUUUAUUAAGGUUGGUUGGUCUGUACUUAUCUCCUCCCGUGUUGUUACCAUGCUGCAGCAAUUAAAAGGUGUGGCUGAAUAUAGGCGUGGCACAAAUAUUUGACCCGCCCACUCAAUAUUGCCAUAUCACUUAUCCUUUCCCUCUCCUCUCGUCCUUGUUGUUUUGUUGGUCCUAACUCCUUUAGUCUCAGGAGGUACACUACAGAUCAUGUGACACGUGCGUCAUUAUUUGUUGGAUCAUUGGGUGCCUUGCGAGCAUCUUUUAAUUUAUGGAUGGUAUUGGUUGGUUGAAUAGUUGCUGGGAUUGGUGUAGGUAUAUUGAGUAUGAUUGUUCCUGUAUAUAAUGCUGAGGUGGCACCAAAGACUUUAAGAGGAAGGCUAGUCUCACUGAACCAGCUCUUCAUCACAGCCGGCAUAAUGGUGUUGCUGUUUCAGUCACUACUUCUGGUAACUGGAUUGGGAACUUUGUGGUUGCUAUGGUAACCCCAUUACUUCUCGGUUCUGUAC
Amphimedon queenslandica is the source of this 523-nucleotide long non-coding RNA. RefSeq lists it as uncharacterized. The transcript has 4 exons. Lineage: Eukaryota; Metazoa; Porifera; Demospongiae; Haplosclerida; Niphatidae. The record is from RefSeq and is a predicted model, not a curated record.